UGUUGUCUGAAUGGCCGAGCUUCCAGUGGAUUGUGGGGUUUACUAACAAGCUGAUUGGCUGCUGCUGUGGCGGCCAUGAUUUGUGAAGCGACCGAGUGAGUGGUGUGUAGUCUGCGUGAAGACGACGAACAUUCUCCAGACAACGAUCUCGUGAUGUUUGUGAUUGUUUGAUGGUUGUCUCCAUCUAAGAAAAGUCUAUAUGUCUUUGUUGAGAAGAGAGAGGUCAAAGUCAUGAUACUCCACGCAUAUAUCACAAGUCUACGGGCUCUUCUACGAUUCUUGAAGACUUCUUGACACAACAUUCCAUAACCAGACCUUGUGACGAAAAUACUACUCGGGGGACAGGUGUUCCGCAUCUCUUGGUUGUGGGUCGUAGUUCGUUUUCUGGUCUUCCUCGCUCUAGGUUAUUUGAAAGCAAACCUCAUCUGAUGGCGCUGAGAUUGUGUAGCACUGAGCUUUGACUAUAUAGAGUUACAUCCAAUCAUGCAUCGUGCUAAGGUGGUUUGUUAACCAGCAUGGACUAGUUCACAGUGUAUUUGUGCAUGUAAUUUUAUCCGUUUGGUUUGUAAAAUGCGCUACUUGGGAAACGCAUAAUCCCUGUGGUUUUUUUUUGCUUUUUCACAUUGUUGGGAUAGCUAUACUUGAACUCGCUUGAAUAAUUGCGAUGCAAACUUCUUUGCUAACGAUAUUCAAAGUCGAACUCGAAGACAAUAAUCAUUUGAUGAAGGCUGACCUACGUGAAUGGUGGAAAAAAAGCCUCCCGAAACUAUAAAUAUAGAUAAGUUUUCACCAACUAAAAUUAUGAAUUUGACCCCGUGGUUUUUUUCACGCUCCGAUCAUGAAAGCAAGUUAAACGAACUAGGAAAAGAUUAAGGGUUCGCUCAGGUAUAUUGUACAAUAUUUUAUUCCUAACUAUUUCCUUAUUAAAUCAUUACAUCUUGUCUCAAAUAUACAUCUAACGUCAAACAUAGUUAUAUACUUUUGAUAGCGCAUUCAGCCCAUUGGUCCACUAGUCCAAAUAAAGUAAUCUUAUAAUCUGUUACCUUAACAACUCUUAAAUCUGAACUAAUUAAUGUUCACAAAAUUCUCAUUUUCAGCUGUGACAAACAACUUAAUCCAAUGAAAUAAAACUGGAAAACUUUGAGGAGCAUUAAGAAGGAAAGACUCUCAGAAUCUACAAUCAUGCAGCGAAAGGCAGGCUUUUCCCGGCUCUCAGUCAUCAAAGAGAAAGAGAACAACAAUAAUAAGACUGGUUCAAAAAUUCAAAAUAAAAAAAGAGGCGUCACAACGCCAUUGCUGAAAUUUCAAAAUCUUGUUUCGACUAUAACCAUGACCCGCGCCUUGCUCAACCGAAGUCAAAUACGCAAGCAAAAUACGUGUGAGGACUCAGGCGAGUUUUAUAUGAGCCAUGCUACGUCACCUGACGACGACGAU
Molecule: long non-coding RNA, 1434 nt
Organism: Dendronephthya gigantea
Lineage: Eukaryota; Metazoa; Cnidaria; Anthozoa; Malacalcyonacea; Nephtheidae
Exons: 5
Source: RefSeq, a predicted model, not a curated record